GGGGGCCGCGCCUUCUGCACCCUGGAGCCUGCAACUCGUGACGCACACGCGGCUCGGCCGGGUUCUUCUCUGCGGACCCGCAGCACAGGGUCCCAAGCUGGGGAGAGCCGCGGGAGAUGAAGAAGAAAUUGGAAAAUAACAAGAAAGAAGGAUACGUACCAAGAUUACGCUGCACAGCCGGACGCGCUCAGGGCUCUGGGGGCCGGGGUGAGCUGUAUUUAUAGCGUGGGAGCCCCGCGUGGCCUAGGCUGGAGGUCUUUGGCUCGUGAUCGGGCAUGCGCAGAAAGGGAACAAGGAUACACAAUGUAACUGUCUCCUGGCCCCUCGCCAUCCAGGGUCCACAGUCGAUGGAGGAGAAGGGAGUAGGGGGUCAGGCGACGCCAUCUUCAGGCUCGGCCCACGGCACUUCUCUCACUGGCUGAGUUCUCUGAACAUUUAACACGCAAAACCCACUCUUUGCUCACAGCCCAUGCAGAAACUGGUGCCGGCCACAUGUGGUCUUCUAACUCCUGGCGCUGAUCGAAGUGAGUUAGAAGAAGACUCGAGGCCCUGAGAAUCCAAACAGUGGAGGAGGGCCCGGGAAGCCAGCACAGCCUUCCCAGGGCAGCCUGCGUACAGAGGCAUGGCCGGUUCAUUUCACGUGAAGCAGACGACAGAAAAGUAUUAAGGUGAAACCUUGUUCAGUUAUUACAGCAGCAGAGAGCACAGCCAGAAUGGCCUCCCCGUGGACAGGGAAAGACCACAGAGAGGCGACCACAAAACAGACCUUGGUGUAUUUCAGGAAAAGCUAGCAGACCAGGAAAACCAUCUAAACCUUGAGAAAUCACAUGCAUCAGAAAAACUCACUGAUGAGACAAGAGGAUUCUGGAAAGAGUUAGAAAUUUUAAAAAGUGAAUUUCAGAAACAGACUAAACUAGGAGGAACACAGUAUCAAAAUAUGGGAUACCUUAAGAGUAACAGAAAGUAAAAACGAGGAACAUUCUUCAAAUAAAAAAGUGAAGAAUUUUACAAACUGCCAGAAUGUAAUAAACAUUGAAGAUAGGCAAAGGAGAUGGCCUAGGAAUUCCUGAAGAAGAAACCAAAUCAAAGAAAAACUGAAUACAAAAUACUACCAUUGAAGAACAUGUUGACGAAUUUUUUGAAAAAGAUUUGAAACCACAAAUUGUACAUCACAUUCCUGAGAUGAUCACCUCAAAAUAAUCAAAUUACUAAAAUCUGAAGAAAAGGGAAAAAAUCCUAUGGAUUGUUCUGCUAGUUGGCUAGGGCUGCCCUACAAAAAGGCAUAGACUUGGUGAGUUAAAUAACGGCAAAAAUGUGUUUUCUCCCAGCCCCAGAAGCGGAAGUCCCAGAUCAUGUUGGGGUUGUUGCUAAGAGGCCGAGCUCAGAGCAGCGAGCAUGGCCUUCGCCCCGGACCUCAGAUGACUUUGUCAUGUGCAUCCCAGUGUCACUGCCUGUCUCUGUCGGACACUGGUGACGGUGGCCUUGGGGCCCCAUGACCUCCUAUGACCUGGAAACCACCUCCAGAUACAGUUAGGCGCAGGAAGCAGGGGACACAGUUCAGCCCACAGCGGAUGUUUCCAGAAAGCACAUGACAGCCCCCUCCAGGUCCCGGUGAGAGGCUGAGACCAGACAGCGAAGAGCGAGCGUGGCACAAGCCCUGAAGACAGCACCCGAGAGAAGCAAGCCCCCGCCCCCGGAAGUGACAGAGUGCUCUGCUGGCAGCCCCACCUCCCAAGUCACUCGGGGAACAAUCGCCUAACUUCCCCACCACGAAGCUCCGCUUACAGUGCCCACCGAGAAGUUCAAACGUGCAGUGGAUUUAAACCUCACCUCUGGCUGCAGCCAAACACCUGCCUCCACUCUGUCCCCCCAGGCCCCUUGCCCCUAUAGGAGUCACCUAGCCAGCCCCUGGCCGCUGCUCUGCCAUUGUUCGAGACAGCCCGGCACCUGUCCCC
Long non-coding RNA from Heterocephalus glaber (naked mole-rat), 1955 nucleotides. NCBI's taxonomy places the organism in Eukaryota, Metazoa, Chordata, Mammalia, Rodentia, Bathyergidae. The record is from Ensembl.